CAACCCAGGCCCUAAAUGAAUUCGUGGAUGAAAAAGGGAAUAAAGGUUUGAGACUCGAGCUUACUAAGCAGCUGCUGCUAUCAUUUGACUGUUGGGCCACUAAGGGUCACAGUGGCCCCCCUCCUGGCCCUGGAAGGCUAGGCCCACAGCUGUCCUCUCAGAAUUCCAUUUCCUGGGGACCCUGGUGCUGGGAGCCCCACCCCCCAAGCCUGUCCCUUCCAGCGGCUGACCUUGGGCAAGUCCCUUUUCUCCUCUGAGCCUCAGUUUCCCCAUCCACCCAAGGGGAAACUUGAUCUAUGUGUCAGGGGUUCAGUAAAUUGAGAUUCCCAAGGGGGCUGGUGGGAUGGACCAGACUGGGGUCCCAAGCUGAGAGUAGCCUGAAAGAGCAAAUUCUAAAAUUCGGUUUCCUUUGGUCAAAAUAUGGAAAUGACUUUAAAAGUACAAGAGGACCUGAGGUUCUCAUGUUUAUCUGAAGGGGGCUCACCAGUAAGGGGUGAGCAGGGCCCCCUGACUCAAAGGGCAUGAGUGCCCUGGCCAGAGGCCGGCCCGGAGGACAUGCAGGCAGAGCCACCCCGCCCUCGGGUGCUGGCCGCAGCCAUCCUGGCACAGCCAGCCUGGGGUUGGUGACAAUCACGUCCCGGGAACUUCUGCCAGAGGGGGACAGCUGGGGAGGAGGAGGAGGCAGAGGGACAGCUGGCUCCAGGGCUCAGGCUGAGUCAUCCUCCGGGGCCGUGGUCUACACGAGUCAGGGGAGAGGGCUGUUUCCAGAGGGAGAGGAGGCAGCAGCGGGGAAGGCAUCCUGGGGCUGUGCCUGGACCGAUCAGCAGGAAAGGACAGACAGCCAGGGCCAGACUGCCACCUAGGGGAGGGUAGCCCCCUUCCCCAGUCUGCCGGCCCCCGCCCCCCACCUGCCGGGCCCAUUUCUUUUCUUCCCUCUGAUCCUGGUACCUGGUGACCAGACCCGGUGCCUCCUCUGGGCCCUCCACACCCUCAAACUCCCCCAUGCUCUCAGCCUCCCUCCCACUCCCUGGCCCCCAGGCCCUUGAAGCUGUCAGGCAACUCUGGGCUCCAGGCCACAGAGGGUGGCCUGGGGUCUCUGGAGCCAGAGAGACAUAGCCCAAAUCCUCCCACCAUUUCUGAGCUGGGUGACCUUGGGUAAGUUACUUGACCACUCUGAGCUGCAGUUCCCUUACUGUGAAAUGGGGAGAACACCGUCUUACUGCCCAAGGCUUCAAAAGGAGGUAUCCCGGGUCUUGCCCUUCCAUUAUGGAACCCGCCACAAUAGGCAAAUCUACAGAGACAGGAAGGAGAUGCGUGGGGGCCUGGGGCAGAGGAGGGGGAAGGGAGCGACCGCUGAGAGGUGAGGGUUCUUUCCGGGUGAUGAGAAUGUGGAUACUCUGGGAAGUGACCGAAGCCACCGAGCCGUGCGCUUUAGAUGGAGAACGGAGCCUCCGAGGUCCUGCGAGUGUCCAGCCAGUGUCCGGGGGGUAUAACCUUAGCGGGCUUGCAUAGGAGCAGUGAUGACAAGGCUACCGGAACCUGAGCUCCCCGACCCCCACCCCACCCCCACGGAGACUCGGAUCCACUGCGAGUGACUCAACAGAAGCGGCCCUGCCCCCAUCCCGUCCAACUGGCGUCCACAGGUGGGGAGAGGACAGAGCUCCCAGAAGCCGGAUGAGAGGAGUUGCUCCGGGUCACGAGCUUGGCAUUUCCCAGCUCCACCUCCGUGUCCACUCACCUCCAAGGUCAGCCUCUGCAGAGCCACACAACCUGUGGGAGGGACCCCUCCAAGCCCCAGGGGGUUGGCAAGGAGGACUGGGAUGGGACAGCAGCCACCGUGUGGUGCAGCAGUGAAUCCUACGGCCCCCACCUGCCAGGGAGCGAGUCUGGGCUCUGCCGGUGUGAUGCUGGGUGAGAAAACAGGCCCAGAGAAGGUGGGUCCCUGCCCAGGCUCACACAGCUACGGAGCAGUAGAAGCUGGGAUUUGAAACUGAGCCCCAAGACAGAUUCGUGUUGACAGAUGUAUAAACUGAAUACUGACCCUCCAGAGAGAUCCACGCCCUAAUCCCGGGAACCCCUGUGAAUGUCACCUCCCGAUGGCAAAGGGAUUCUGCAGAUGGGAAGAAGUGAAGGAUCUUGAGAUGGGAACAUUAUCCCCGAUUAUCCAGCUAUAAGUCCCGGGAUCUUCCAGCUCAACCAGCCCAUUUUACCGACGACGUGGAGCCUGAGGCCAGAGUUAGGGGUCAACUUGCCCCGUCCCACCGAGAUGAGUGGCGGGAGGGUGCUGUCUCCUGGCACGUCCUGGGGGUCCUUGCUCUGCUCUUCUGGACUCCAGCCCUGGGCAGCCUGGGCGAAAUCGUCUAGUCCAAACCCAUUUUCCGAGUGAGGAAACUGAGGCCUGGAGUUGUCCGAGAGUUGCACUCGAGUCCCUAAGUGACAGGGGAUGUGCAGGCCCUGAAUCCCCAGGGAGUCCUCUCGGCAAGGCCCUCCCCUCCCCAUCUGGAGCGCCGCUCCUCCCCGUGUAUCCCCAGCAGACAGGGGCCAGCGGGGUCUGGGAAAACCACAUCAGGAGCGGCCCAGCUGUGGUGCAGGAAUUCGAGAGCAGCUCCUUAGUGGCCUCCAGCCUGGGAAAGCUCUGAGGCCUUCCUGUCCCCGCCCGCCUUGCCGCUUAGGGCCAGCCCUGUCCCCAAGGCUGUGAGAAGUCGCCUGGAGGCAGUGUCCAGUGGGGUGGAGGAAAGAGCGGCCUAGAAUGGAGGGACUUGAUCCCCGAUCCUAAGCCAGUUAGUGACAUUAUCCUGGAUUAUCCUAAACCGAGCUCAGGGCCCUGGGCUUGUCUAGGGGAGCAUAGGUCUCCCUGCCCCCGGCAUGUGGGGGUUCCAGUGGUGCCUUAACACCCAGCGACACAGGCCCACAGCCAAGAAGGCACAGUUCUUACAUAAAGCAUUCAUACCCACUGGCACCCUCAGACCUCACAACAGCCCUGUAACGGCGAGGCUGCUGCUGUCCCAUUUUACAGAUGGAGAAACUGAGGCUCGGAGAGAGAAAGGGACUCUCCCCAAGUCAAGGUCCUGUGGUGGCAGCACUGGGACUCUGCUAACUCCGUGAGCUCUCGCGAUGACCCUGGACUCGUCUCUGGCAAUUCGGUCCCAGGCUUGCUGUGGGGCCUUGAGUAAUCUCCCUCUCUGAGCCUCGACUCUCCUCUGUGAACUAGGACAUAAUAAUAGUAUCCACCUCACUGGGGCGCCUGCAGAAUCAGGGAGUGCGUGAGCCCCGCGCCUGGCACGCGGUGAGCGCUCCAUCUUCGCUCACCCUCAUCACCAUCACACUACCCGAUUGGAUAACCGCAAAUACUACUGCUGGGGGAAGACGCCAAUAAACACACAGGUCCUGCGGGAGGUGAAGGAGUGACCACGAGAGCAAGGAGGGGGCUGCCUGGCAUAUUCAAGCAACACUGAAGAGGCCAGUGUGGUCCUAGGGGGUUAGAGACAGGGCAGUGGCAGGAGGAGAAACCAGAGAGGUGGGGGGUGGGGCAGAGUCACAGACCACGGUGGCCAUUGGGUGGACGUCAGCUUUCCUUGAGCCAAGUGGGGAGCCAUCGCAAGGUGUCCUCAUUGUCCACUAAACGCUCAAAGCCUGCAAUGGGCCCUUAGACCCUGGGUCACUGUCUGAGGAGUGGAAUGGCCACCCGCUAGCUAACCACCCUCCUCCGCCCAGGACCCGCCCACGGCCCCUCCCCCUCCCUGCGAUGCUCCAGAACCCUGAGAAUCAGGUGGUCCUAAAGUGUCAGCGCUCAGAGGGAGCUUGGAGGCCAUUUGGCUCCAAUUACAGAUGAAGAAAGGAGGCUGGGACGCGGAGGGGAAGGGGCUUGUCCGGGGCCUCUCAGCACAUCCGCGGCUGUGCCAGCUGUGACGCCCAAGGCUCCUGCCUCCUGGAGCAGGGCCCCUCCCGCUGCAGAGCCCUCGGUGAACGGGACGUUUUGUUCUUCUGGCCCAGAUCCAAGGAGUCUCCAGGGACACACUCUGGUUUGCCUUUGCCAAAGGCCUCGCCAGCUAAGGGUCCCUUCUAGGCUGCCAUCUCUGGCAGAAGCUGCGCCCUCCUGGGGCCAGCCUCCCGCCUGCACCGGCAUUGAGGAGUCCGUGUGCAUGUGAGGAUGGGGACCCUGUGCAGCUCCUCAUCCCAGUCACCCUGCUCCCAGGGCUUCUAUUCCAAGCACAGACAUCGAAACACAAUAAGCAGCCACUCACUGCCCACUUCUGGGGUCACCCUGUUGGAGCAAUAAGCUCCUGACCUCUCUCCCCACCCCGUGGAUGUUCAUGGUGGUUCUGUAGCUGCCACUGCCAGCUCCUCAGCUGCAGUUCAAGGGGAGGGAACACCAGCCAUUCAUCCACUCUCUGAUCUUCCAUUCAUUCAUCUCUCUAUUUUCUUGCCCAUUGGUCCGUGCAUUCAUCCAUACACCCACCUAUCCAAUUGCCCCACCCACAUAUCUAGCCUUCCAUCCAUCCAUCCAUCCAUCCAUCCAUCUAUCCAUCCACUGAUCUGAACAGCCACCAGUCUGUCUGAUUGUUACUGGUCCAUCAUCUCAUCCAUCCGACCCAUCCAUCCAUCCAUCCAUCUAUCCAUCCAUUCAUCCAUCCUAUGCUCUUUCUCUUACACCUAUUGUUUGCCCAAAAACCUCUCUCUCUGCCUGUGCGUUGGUCUACAUAUCCAUCAUCCACCUAUCCCCUUACCAACUUCCCUGCCCUUCCGUCCAUUCCCUCACCUUCCUCCCAUCCAUCCAUCUCCCCACUCCACUCCCACUGCUCUGCCAACCAACCUGUCAGCCUGUCUCUUGGUCCAUCUACCCCUUCAUGCAACGUUCAUGGAGGCAUAUCCUGUGGGACUCAGCGUUGUAACUAUAGCACCUACAGUAAUAGCUGCCACUUACUGGACGCUUGUUUUAUGCCAGACACUCUACCUACGUUCUCACUUAAUCCUCACAACAACCUGUCGUCGUUUGACAGAUGAGGGAACAUGCUGGAUGGCCUCAAUUAGACAACUGUCAAAUUGUUUCAUUCCAAGAGCAGCUUUACAAGAUAGAUGCUGUCAUCAUUUUGCAGAUGUGGAAACUGGCCAUGCAAUUUGCCUGAAGUCACAGCAGUAACGAAGGACAGGAUUUGGACCUAAGUGUUCUGACUCCGAGUUCCGUCCUCCUUCCUUCUGACCACCGCCGCCUGAGACCCGAUGGCCAGACCUUGCUGCCCCGGUGUGUGACUGUGUGUGUCAGUCAACCUCGGGCCUCAGUUUCCUUGCCUGUGCAAGAGGGGGCUGUGGGAGUGGCUGCUGACUUCCUUCCUUUCUUCCUCUGUCUCCUUCUCAUGAAGAGCCACGCAGGACUGGGAGAUGAGCUGGGCCAGGUGAACCUCUGAGAUCCAGCCUUGGACAUGGCUUGGCCCAGUGUGAACCCGCGGAUGACCCCAUUUCACUGGCUUGCUCCACAAAUAUCCUUCACUGAGUGUGUACCGCCUCAGGGCACAGCCCCGGGGACUCCGUUCCUCACCUCUGCUUCAGGGCAGGCAACCCAGCCAGGGGGAAGGGUGCAGCCCCGCAAGAAGAGGAGAGUCACGUCUGCUGCCAGCUUGCUGUGAGAUCUCGACAUUUCCCUCAGUUUUCUCAUCUGCCCAACGGGCUAGCAGCACCCGCCUCGGAGGAGCAAGUGAAAUAUGUGAUGUGAACACGCUCACCACGCCCUCUCCUCUCCCUUGCUUCUGUGCAAUAACAGGGCUGGGCUCGUGCAGAGGUCCCAAGGCGGGUUCGUGGCUGGACUUCAGGAGCAGGAGCCCCCGAAACCACAGGCGGUGUUUGUGUGUGCACGUGCAGUCUUCACCAAGAAGGCCUGUGACUUUCAUUAGAUUCUCAAAAGGCCCAUGACUUAGUUGCUAAUGAUAAUAAUCACUAAUUGAGUGCGGACUUCGAGCCAGCACCUGUAAGUGCUCGGUGCUUAGUACACCUUACUUCAUUUAAUUCUUAGUAGACGGUAGAUGGAAUAGUGAUUGAGCUCAGGAACUCUAGAGCCUCAUUGUCUGGGAUCAAAUCCUGGCUCCAUUGCUUCCCAGCUGUGUGGCCUUGGACAAUGACCUAACCACUCGGUGCCUCAGUUUCCUCAGAUCUAAAUUAGAUGACAAAGCUAUUUGCUUCAUAGGGUUGUUUUGAGGAGUAAAUACAGGAACAGAGCUUAGAACCAUACCUGUCCCUAAGCAAGAGCUCAGUAAAUACUGUCUUAAAGUAGAUGAGGAAAUGGAGGCUCAGAGAGGUCAAGGAACUUGUCUACAGUCAACCAGCUGGGAAAGAGCCCAGAUUCUAAGCCUGGUGGUCUGACACUGGAGCCCUUGCAUUUAAUGGAUAUGCUCACUGUGUGUUCUUGAAAAGACCCUGACUUCAUCCCACAUGCACCCUAAUUCUUACAUUCAAGGCUCUAGAUUUUACUGACAAGGGAGAGGUUCUGGCCACACUGGUCUCCAAGGUUCCCUGACAUUCUGAUACUUGAGACUUCCACUGUGCGAGUCCCCCCAGCAGGCUGACAGGCCUCCAGAGGAGCUGCAGAGAAAGAGCGAGAGAGCACGUGUGGGCACCUGAACGUGUGCACAUCCCCUUCCCGUGCCCCCCCCCCCCCCAGCCUCCACAGGGUGCAGCUCCCAGGCCUCCCUGCACAGCCUCCCAGGAGAGGCGCCCCCGCAGACUCCGCUCCCUCCCGGCGCCAUGUGACACUGGCGGGUGGUGUGGGAGGGAGGAGGAGAUGAGCUCGUCACUGGCUGACAGCUCUCCCUCUGGGGCAGGGAGCUCCCUGGCUGCAACCCUACCCCAGAUGGCUUUUAACAGAAGAGGAAACAGAGAAGUGCUUUGCUGGGCCACUUCCUGGCUUAGCAGGACCUGGGCAAGCAUCACUUCUCAGGGCCUCGUUCUGCUCAUUCAUAAAAUAAGGACAAUUGCUCCUAUGCCACUGGGCUGUGGCGGACACGACAGGAGAAAAGGCAUGUGUGUAAAAUACCCAGCCUCACAGACUCCACACUCUCAGGUCCUCUCCAUCCUGUUCCCCUCUGGAGGAAGAAGGGGACUCCUGGUCUGAGACCAGAAGUGGCAUCCUUUAGCAUCUUGUCUCAGGGACGGGAGUUCAGCUGAGGCAAUGGCUGGAGACCUGGUGUGGGCUGGGUUGGCCUGUGCAGGUGACGAAGCCACAGGUACUUGAUAUCAGCAAAAUGGCCCAGCACAACUCGAUCUGUGGCCUCCUGGAGCUGAGCGAAUGAGCUCCCUUCUCCAACAGACCUCAGGCUCCACUUUGUUCAACUGAGUCUCCAAGAACUCCACCAGCCGUACCAUCCUGUGGGCUGGGUGGCUAUCUCAAAGCGCACACGGCCAGAGGGUGGCAGUGGGGGAGCCUUCUCCCUACUCUGCAUAUUUGCUUUCCAACAAAUACCUUUUAGAGCACCGACUACAUGCUAGGUGCCAGGUUCUAGGUGCUGGGGGUACGGCAAUGAACAUGAGACUGUAGGAAGCUGAUAUUCCGGCGCGGACAGUCAGACUGCACACGGCAGGUAGUGAGGAGUUUGUGCUUAGUGCCGUUGAGUCGAUUCCAACUCCUAGCGACCCCGUGUAGAGCAGAGCAGAGCAGACGCCUGCCCAUCUUUUUGCGCCAUCCUCUCAUCCUCUGGCACUGUUUCAGAUGAUGCUCUGCUGCUAUUCACAGCGUUAUCAUGGCCAAUUUUUUCAGAAGUGGGUGGCCGGGUCCUUCUUCCCAGUCUGUCUUAGUCUGGAAGCUCCGCCGAAACCUGUCCAUCACGGGUGACCCUGCUGGUAUCUGAAAUACCAGUGACAUAGCUUUCAGCAUCACAGCAACAUGCAGCUGCCACAGUAUGACACCCAACAGGCGGGUGAUGUGGUUCCCUGACCAGGAAACGAACCCGGGCCCCGGCAGUGAGAGCACUGGCUCUUAACCACCAGACACCAGGGCUGGCUAGUGAUAAGCACUGUGAAGGACCACAAAGCAGACGGAGGAGACGUGGAGGGACCGGGUGCUCAUUAGGCCGAGGGUCAGAGAAGGCCUCCUCCAUGGGAGACAUCUGAGCAGGACCAGAGGAGCCAGGUGGGGGCCACGUGAGGAUCUGGGGCAAGAGCAUUCUGGGCAGAGGUCAACUGCAAGGCGCUGAGUCUCCAACUGCCUGUCAGGAUUGAGAAUCGUCAAGAAGUCCCCGGGGCUGUGCGCAGUGAGCCGGGCGGUGGGAGGACGCGCAUGGGGGGAGAGUGGAAAAGGUGGGGGCAGGGGAGGUGAUAAGGAAUUUGGCUUGGGGUCCUGAGCUUGAAGGGCUGGUGAGGAGUCUGCAGGCCCAGCCUUGCCUGCCCAGGCUGGGGAGAGGGGACACAUUUUGUGGGGUCAGUCCUCUGAGACCCCAGAUCCCCACAGUAAGCCACUUGGACCUAGCGCCUGCACAAGAACACGCUCUUGAAAUUCUGGGUUCAGCCUAAGAGCCUUCAAGCACCAGCGGCUCAUCUGGGCCAGCCUCCUUUGCUCACAUAAGCCCACAUGGCGGAUAAAGAAAUUGAGGCUCAGAGGGGAGAAAUGACCUCCCCGGGGACACCCAGCCCCCGAGUGCGUCUGCAUCCUGAGAUGCGCUCUUCCCACUUUGGCAUACUGCAGCCCUCUUUCAAAAUGAUGUUUGUGAACAUUAGUCUCAGUAAAGACAGCUAAAAAGCAUGGGUUGGAGAUGUUUUUAGCUGCCUGUAAGCCAGAUAAAAGGUUCUGUUGUUGCAAAAAUGCUCUUCUUGUGUAUGCUAUAAGCAUCCAUCAAUUUCCGAAAUUAUCCAGCCUCCCUAACGAGAAAUGACGGGCGCUUUCUGAAUUUGAGAUGAAGAGGGUUUUUUUUGGUUGUUGGUGGUGGUUUACUCAUAUCAGACUCUUUUCCUGCCCUGAGUGUAAUAUCCUAAGUUUCAGGGAGGCAGAGGCUGUUUUUUUUU
This 8985-nucleotide long non-coding RNA is filed under the name Equus asinus (donkey). RNAcentral describes it as "lncRNA (ENSEASG00005026732.1)". Lineage: Eukaryota; Metazoa; Chordata; Mammalia; Perissodactyla; Equidae. The record is from RNAcentral.